UGCGUAGGUGGUUUGUUAAGUCAGGCGUGAAAUCCCUGGGCUCAACCUGGGAACUGCGUUUGAUACUGGCAGACUCGAGUCUGGUAGAGGGUAGUGGAAUUCCGCAUGUAGCGGUGAAAUGCGUAGAUAUGCGGAGGAACAUCAGUGGCGAAGGCGGCUACCUGGACCAAGACUGACACUGAGGCACGAAAGCGUGGGGAUCAAACAGGAUUAGAUACCCUGGUAGUCCACGCCCUAAACGAUGGGUACUAGACGUUGGGAGGUUUAUCCUCUUGGUGUCGCAGCUAACGCAAUAAGUACCCCGCCUGGGGAGUACGGUCGCAAGAUUAAA
Molecule: ribosomal RNA, 331 nt
Filed under: uncultured Pseudomonadota bacterium
Lineage: Bacteria; Pseudomonadati; Pseudomonadota
Description: bacterial SSU rRNA
Rfam family: Bacterial small subunit ribosomal RNA
Source: RNAcentral